AUACGUAGGGGGCGAGCGUUGUCCGGAAUGAUUGGGCGUAAAGGGCGCGUAGGCGGCCCGGUAAGUCUGGAGUGAAAGUCCUGCUUUUAAGGUGGGAAUUGCUUUGGAUACUGUCGGGCUUGAGUGCAGGAGAGGUAAGUGGACUUCACAGUGUAGCGGUGAAAUGCGUAGAGAUUGGGAGGAACACCAGUGGCGAAGGCGACUUACUGGACUGUAACAGACGCUGAGUCGCGAAAGUGUGGGGAGUAAACAGGAUUAGAUACCCUGGUAGUCCACACUGUAAACGAUUAAUGCGAGGUGUAGGGGGUAUCGACCCCUUCUGUGCCGCAGUUAACGCAAUAAGCAGUCCGCCUGGGGAGUACGGCCGCAAGGUGGAAACUCAAAGGAAUUGACGGGG
This 397-nucleotide ribosomal RNA is filed under the name uncultured bacterium. RNAcentral describes it as "partial 16S ribosomal RNA". It matches the Rfam family "Bacterial small subunit ribosomal RNA", at positions 523 to 918 of the family's 1533-position model. The record is from RNAcentral.